CCGCCCCGCCGAGCCCGGCGGCGCUGCGGGGGAAGCACCGCCCUGUACGAGGCCGAGUCGUGGGCUGAGCCUGGCGCUGAGCUGGGCCUAACCUGGGACAGAGCCUGAGGCUGCAGCGCCUGGGUGUUGCGGCGGCCGCAGGGCUUGGCCGGCGCCGUGUUCUCGCGGGGGAAUCGCCAGCCGCUCCCUCGGGGUUAAAGGGCAAACAGCCAUUUUGUCUGCUGGACGGGGAUGUCGUAGGGGAGCGGUCGGGCUGAUUUUUUGGCAUUGCUUCGUAGCAGAAGGAGAAUGCUAAGUGAAAUUAGCUGUACAAAAUUGGUGUUUUAAAGCUAUUGAGCAAGAAACAAAAUUAACAUCAACAGCAGGUGGCAGUGCUGGCAAGAGCAGUGGUUCUGAUGUGAGUUGUCGGCUGGUGGUUUGUGUAGUUUCAGCUCUUCCGCAAAAGCAGUAGAGAGUGCCAGGAUCCUGUGUGCAGAGAGAACAAGACCAGCUCCCACUGAUGACUGACCCCUGGAACACCCCUCAAGCAUUGUUGUGAGGUUCAAGUAGAAGCCUGCUGUAUGUUGAUGAAGUUCACCCACUGUGCUUCUUAGAAGAGAAAAUUAGUGAAAUUGGUAAAAAAAAAUCAAAGAAGAAAACCUGUAAAGUUCCCAUGCUGUGACUGUGACACUCACUCUUUACACCUCACCUCCUAAUUCUCAGACAUAGAGAUUGACUGGAACACAUUCCCAGCACCGCUCUACGAUAUGUCUCUGGCUUUCGACUCUCUCUGAAGAGAAUGGUACCAGGUUACUGCACUGGCAGCCAGAGUUGCUGAUUCUUGUCUCUUUAAUGGCUUUGAUGGAAACAAGUCUCUUUACUGCUGUUACUGUGUGUAACAUACCUCAGAACACAGGAUUAGGAGAAACUGGUGAUUUUACAGUUCCAGUCCUCUUUGAUAAAGUGUCCGAGAUGAAAUGAAUACACUUCUGAGACUGUUGCCUGGAGGCCAGGGAAACUGCUACAACAAAGCGAAGACAGAAGUAACAGACAUACUAACAUGUGCAGAACUGAGAACAUGGAGUAGAAUGUGCCCAGACAGAAUUAUUCUGAGAGAGACACUGCAAUGUAUAUAAAAUUUUGCACUCAUGCGUCUAAACUAGUACAGUAACUAAUUUUGAAAUGCUAUUGACAGCCCAGGUGGAAUAGGGAGUGAAUAUUGAGGCUGUAGCUGUAUAGGCUAUGAAAAGACUGGUGUGAAGAGGAAGAUCAUUAACCAGGGGAUUAAGAAAGCGGUCCAGGUAAACAGUAAGAUAUAGAUGGUCUAAUGAUUAACAUAAGAUUCCUGUAUGGGAAUAUCUGUGGAAAAGGAAGGGCUACUUCAGUGUUCCCUUACAGAAAGUGGACUGGUGGACCUGAAGAUGGUGGAGCAAAAGCUGAGAAAUUACUCAGAGGUGCAAGAUGAAGUGUGAAGUUCUGUGAACCUUGAGACUGCUUUGAACUGUUACCAGUAGUUUCUGAAAUUUACAGACAGGGACAUAUUGUAGGGAUUGUUUUUGCAACUCCUUGCGUUUUUCAUGAUGUCAUUGUGAAUGAUUCUGGGACAUUUCAAGUUGGUUUGUGUUAAAAAAAAGAAGGAGAAAAUACUACAGUGGAAGACUACAGUUACUGAAAAAACAUGAGUUACUGAGGUUUUUAACACAUGAUUGCGAAGUAUGUAAGUAGAAGAAUAAUCAGUUUGGUUCUCACACUUAACUUGCAACUGGUAGAUUUUUCUCUGGAGAUAUUUUUCCACAUAUCAUAAGACAUAUUUUUCUAAAUGUUUGCCUUUCUUUCUAUACCAUUUAUGUCUGCAAACAAUUAGGAGCAAAGCAUGGUACUAGAUACCUGCACUAACUCAGUAUAGUCCAAGAUAACACUGUAGGUCCCCAUCUUUAUGAGUGUAAAUAAGUUAAGAAGUUUAUGCAGUUUAAAGGAAAUAACAGAUAGAACUGUGGAUAAGAAAGGAGAAAGAAAAAAUACAGACUCUAGGUUUGUGGUGUAAAGGUUAAAUGAGAGGAAGACCUGAGAAUGAUAGUAGAAUUUCAUCAAAUACCAGGAAAAAUUCUAGGUGGCUUUGGUAGCUAUAUAAAUCACAACAUUGGAAUUUUGUAUGUAAUUCUGAAUGUGAAAGGGUUAAAAAAGUAAAAAGAGUAAACACAUGACAUAGGAGUGACAUUCUUACAUCACACUUCAGCCUAAGAACUGAAAAAAACAAAAACAAACCCUGUACAUAAGAGAACGGGUUUUUUCCUGUCUUACAUACUCUAGACAUGAUUUCUUUUGAGUUUUCUUUCAUUUGGGAAGCAUUGUACUAAUGGUCAGCUGGAAAAGGCAGAGCAAAAACCUUGAACUGAUAUGACACUUAUCUGUAAAUUUGCGGUCAGCUGGGUAAAUAAGGAUUAGGUCCUAUUUUGAAAAUAUGUAUUUACUCUGUAAAAUGUAAUGGUUUGAGGGGGGAAAAAGUCUCACUAUGCUCUAUAAGCUAUAUAUGCAUUUUGGGCACUUUUAGAAGUGAGUGAAAUGGCUCUUUUUUUACUAAUAAAAAGGUCUCAAAUCGAAUGAGUGCAUACAAAACAUUAUUUUCUGUCACUUAGAAUAAGACCUUUAGUAUUUUAAUUUACCAUUGAUUUAUCCACAGUCACUAAUCUGAAAAGUCCAGCUGUUAUUUACAGUUUUAGAGCUAUGUCACUAUUCACUUUGAACUUUUUGGUAACCUCUGUGUUGCUAUAUGAAUCUAUAAAGUUAAUUAACAUAUAGGCACUAAGAUUUUCAGUUUGUUUUGUUCAAGAAUAUCACUAAGCCAUGCUUUAAUUAGAUUAGUUUUAGAUGCAGAGUUGGUAGGGAUUCAGGUACCAUUCAUGGGAAUAGGGUCAAAAUCCUUCCCUCAAAUAAACAGAUUUUGCAACUUUGUUGACUUUAGUGUUAUAUAAUCAGUGUGGAAACAGAUUAUGCUGGUUCAUUUGGAGUUUUUUCAGGAGGAAUAUAAUAAACAAGAAGUUAUUAAGGAGUACUGACUUUUCAUAAUUUAAACCUUGGAAUUGUGUUUCUAAGAAUGCAAAUUAUAAACUCGCCAUUAAAUUUAUCUGAGACAACUUUUUAUAACCAUUGGAGAUAGGAUUGACAAGGCUUCAGAUUCUGAGGAAUAUAGGUAAAGCAAACCUCUAGUCAGCUUUCUGGUGAAACCUGAGCACUUUAUGAAUUACAUAUCAUGCAGUUGUUUGGAAUUUUAAAGCAUUGAUUUUCAUGGCUUGGGUUUUCUUCUACUUCUAAGCAAGUAAAUUUGCACUGCAGGGACAAACUGUAGACCAUUAUUCUAAUUUGCAGAGAUGAUCAAUUACCUAGUCCUUCCAUGUGCACCUUUGACUUCUCUUUCAAAUAAAAUGAAAAAAGAUAUAUUUGCAUCUUCAAUUUUUUAAAAAUCCAUUUCUACAUGGGGAGAAAAAAUAUAAAUGUUAUCUCUCAAAUCAGAAUACAUCAUUAGAUCAGAAUAAGACUUGCAAACUCAGAACUUCUACCAGCAGAAAUCAAUGUACAAAAACCUUGAACAAGAGAAAUCCUAGGGAUACUAAGAAGUUUGCUGGUGAUACUAAAUUGGGAGGAGCUGUUGACAUCCUGGAGGGCAUAGAGGCCCUGAAGAGAGACCUUAACAAAUCAGAGAGAUAGCAGAUCAUCAACCAUAUGAAGUUCAAUGAAGACAAGUUCCAAAUUCUGCACUUUGGAUGGUGCAACCCUGGAUGUAUGGACAGACUGGGGAAUGAGAUACUGGGAAACAGUGCUGUGGAA
Long non-coding RNA from Chiroxiphia lanceolata (lance-tailed manakin), 3804 nucleotides. RefSeq lists it as uncharacterized. The record is from RefSeq and is a predicted model, not a curated record. The transcript has 8 exons. NCBI's taxonomy places the organism in Eukaryota, Metazoa, Chordata, Aves, Passeriformes, Pipridae.